AACGAACGCUGGCGGCAGGCCUAACACAUGCAAGUCGAGCGAUCAUUUCGGUGCUAGCGGCGGACGGGUGAGUAACGCGUGGGAACGUGCCCUUUUCUGCGGAAUAGUCCUGGGAAACUGAGGGUAAUACCGCAUACGCCCUUUUGGGGAAAGAUUUAUCGGAGAAGGAUCGGCCCGCGUUGGAUUAGGUAGUUGGUGGGGUAAUGGCCCACCAAGCCGACGAUCCAUAGCUGGUUUGAGAGGAUGAUCAGCCACACUGGGACUGAGACACGGCCCAGACUCCUACGGGAGGCAGCAGUGGGGAAUCUUAGACAAUGGGGGCAACCCUGAUCUAGCCAUGCCGCGUGAGUGAUGAAGGCCUUAGGGUUGUAAAGCUCUUUCAGCUGGGAAGAUAAUGACGGUACCAGCAGAAGAAGCCCCGGCUAACUCCGUG
RNAcentral lists this ribosomal RNA (433 nucleotides) under uncultured bacterium. Its description in RNAcentral is "partial 16S ribosomal RNA". It matches the Rfam family "Bacterial small subunit ribosomal RNA", at positions 29 to 507 of the family's 1533-position model. The record is from RNAcentral.